RNAcentral lists this unclassified non-coding RNA (212 nucleotides) under soil metagenome. Its description in RNAcentral is "partial contains 5.8S ribosomal RNA, internal transcribed spacer 2, and large subunit ribosomal RNA". The record is from RNAcentral.
AACAAGGCGUACCUGCGGACCUGCGGAGGGAUCAUUACAAGUGACCCCGGUCUAACCACCGGGAUGUUCAUAACCCUUUGUUGUCCGACUCCGUUGCCUCCGGGGCGACCCUGCCUUCGGGCGGGGGCUCCGGGUGGACACUUCAAACUCUUGCGUAACUUUGCAGUCUGAGUAAACUUAAUUAAUAAAUUAAAACUUUCAGCAACGGAUCU